CGAGUCCGGUGAGCUCUCGAUACGAACAAGCUCGAUACGCGACUUUUCCGAGUCUCUGAAAACUACCAAUUAACCUCGACGUCUUUCUGUCGCUGUCGCAUAAAGUUCUGUUCUCGAUCUACUUCGACGUUCUAAGCACGCGAUUCUCGUCAGUGUCGCACAGUUAAUCGAUCUUUCCGAACAAUCCCACGACGAAAGCCCUACUCUUUACUCUAAUUAUUUUAUUAUGUAUUAAUUGUUCCAUCUGUUUGUCCUUGGUAAUAGCUACACUUUGUUCGAUUUCUAGUAAUAUUAUUUCUACCUGACCAAAGUGUACGAAUUAAUAAUUGUAUUAUUAACAACAACAAUAAUACAAAGAAUAAUACAAAGGAACAAAGUGUAUUAAUUAAUAAUUAGAGGCUGUGCCUAUUACCUUUUUGCAACAGACUGCAAAUUUAAAUCACUUAUUAAAUGCAGCGCUAAUA
Molecule: unclassified non-coding RNA, 464 nt
Filed under: Bombus terrestris (buff-tailed bumblebee)
Lineage: Eukaryota; Metazoa; Arthropoda; Insecta; Hymenoptera; Apidae
Description: misc RNA ENSBTSG00005025974.1
Source: RNAcentral